GCGCUCUUCAUUUAGCCUGGUAGAAUGUGGGUCGUUAAAACCCAAUUCCGUAGGUUCAAAUCCUACAGAGCGCG
This 74-nucleotide transfer RNA is filed under the name Helianthus annuus (common sunflower). It matches the Rfam family "tRNA". From Rfam's summary of the family: Transfer RNA (tRNA) molecules are approximately 80 nucleotides in length. Their secondary structure includes four short double-helical elements and three loops (D, anti-codon, and T loops). Further hydrogen bonds mediate the characteristic L-shaped molecular structure. tRNAs have two regions of fundamental functional importance: the anti-codon, which is responsible for specific mRNA codon recognition, and the 3' end, to which the tRNAs corresponding amino acid is attached (by aminoacyl-tRNA synthetases). tRNAs cope with the degeneracy of the genetic code in two manners: having more than one tRNA (with a specific anti-codon) for a particular amino acid; and 'wobble' base-pairing, i.e. permitting non-standard base-pairing at the 3rd anti-codon position. The record is from RNAcentral. Lineage: Eukaryota; Viridiplantae; Streptophyta; Magnoliopsida; Asterales; Asteraceae.